Molecule: ribosomal RNA, 497 nt
Filed under: uncultured bacterium
Lineage: Bacteria
Description: partial 16S ribosomal RNA
Rfam family: Bacterial small subunit ribosomal RNA
Source: RNAcentral
GACGAACGCUGGCGGCGUGCCUAAUACAUGCAAGUUGAGCGCUGAAGGUUGGUACUUGUACCAACUGGAUGAGCAGCGAACGGGUGAGUAACGCGUGGGGAAUCUGCCUUUGAGCGGGGGACAACAUUUGGAAACGAAUGCUAAUACCGCAUAAAAACUUUAAACACAAGUUUUAAGUUUGAAAGAUGCAAUUGCAUCACUCAAAGAUGAUCCCGCGUUGUAUUAGCUAGUUGGUGAGGUAAAGGCUCACCAAGGCGAUGAUACAUAGCCGACCUGAGAGGGUGAUCGGCCACAUUGGGACUGAGACACGGCCCAAACUCCUACGGGAGGCAGCAGUAGGGAAUCUUCGGCAAUAGACGAAAGUCUGACCGAGCAACGCCGCGUGAGUGAAGAAGGUUUUCGGAUCGUAAAACUCUGUUGGUAGAGAAGAACGUUGGUGAGAGUGGAAAGCUCAUCAAGUGACGGUAACUACCCAGAAAGGGACGGCUAACUAUGUG